Long non-coding RNA from Drosophila pseudoobscura, 309 nucleotides. RefSeq lists it as uncharacterized. NCBI's taxonomy places the organism in Eukaryota, Metazoa, Arthropoda, Insecta, Diptera, Drosophilidae. The record is from RefSeq and is a predicted model, not a curated record. The transcript has 2 exons.
AGUAUGAAAAACCGCCGUUAUUCACAUUUAGACAUGAGUUUCGAAAUUUUCAAAAGAUUUGAGUUUUUGAUGGCAAACGAUUCGAUUCUGAUCACGAAUUCUAUGCAGGCUGAGACAUGGCUCUAAAUGGCAUUUCUACACGGUUUCUACAUUGGUGCAUUGGUGAAGAGGCAAUUACGAUUUACGAAUAUGGAGAACCCAUUGUCGACCAGUGGGUAUUAAAAUACUCUAAACGAAAAUAAUGAAUCUCGAAGAAUUUUAGUGCAGUUUAGGUGAAAUAUAUUUAUAUAUACAUAUAUAUAUCCUUAA